RNAcentral lists this transfer RNA (73 nucleotides) under Sceloporus lundelli. RNAcentral's name for it is "tRNA-Asx". Lineage: Eukaryota; Metazoa; Chordata; Lepidosauria; Squamata; Phrynosomatidae. The record is from RNAcentral.
CGGACAGAAGCCCGCUGGAUUGGGUGUUUAGCUGUUAAUUAAUUUUUUGCGGGAUCGAGGCCCGCCUGUCUAG